AUCCUCUAAUGACCUCAACCAAAUACAAGGUUAGUUCUUUCAAUUUAGUUGGAGCCAUUCGAUAAGGAGCCUUAAAGAUAAAGAGAGAGUGGACAGAGAGUAAGGGUACGAGAAAGGACUCGAAGCCAUCUGCUAGGGAAGAGGGAGAGGGAGAGAGAGAAAGAGAUAGGGAGAAGAAGAGAGAGAGGAAGAAUAGAGGAUAGGAGAGAUGGAGGGCCAUGAUUCUUAGCCUUAGGUGGAGUCAAACCUUUUGCAAUAAAGAGGGAGAGGAAGAGAGGGUUAGAAAGUGAGACAAAGGGAUAGAAAAGGAGGGGAGGAGAG
Molecule: long non-coding RNA, 321 nt
Filed under: Elaeis guineensis (African oil palm)
Lineage: Eukaryota; Viridiplantae; Streptophyta; Magnoliopsida; Arecales; Arecaceae
Description: long non-coding RNA (EGUI_LNC010004)
Source: RNAcentral